Molecule: ribosomal RNA, 429 nt
Filed under: Chloroflexota bacterium
Lineage: Bacteria; Bacillati; Chloroflexota
Description: Chloroflexi bacterium partial 16S ribosomal RNA
Rfam family: Bacterial small subunit ribosomal RNA
Source: RNAcentral
UGGGGAAUAUUGCACAAUGGGCGCAAGCCUGAUGCAGCCAUGCCGCGUGUGUGAAGAAGGCCUUCGGGUUGUAAAGCACUUUCAGCGGGGAGGAAGGCGGUGAGGUUAAUAACCUCAUCGAUUGACGUUACCCGCAGAAGAAGCACCGGCUAACUCCGUGCCAGCAGCCGCGGUAAUACGGAGGGUGCAAGCGUUAAUCGGAAUUACUGGGCGUAAAGCGCACGCAGGCGGUCUGUCAAGUCGGAUGUGAAAUCCCCGGGCUCAACCUGGGAACUGCAUUCGAAACUGGCAGGCUAGAGUCUUGUAGAGGGGGGUAGAAUUCCAGGUGUAGUGGUGAAAUGCGUAGAGAUCUGGAGGAAUACCGGUGGCGAAGGCGGCCCCCUGGACAAAGACUGACGCUCAGGUGCGAAAGCGUGGGGAGCAAACAGG